RNAcentral lists this unclassified non-coding RNA (24 nucleotides) under Mus musculus (house mouse). RNAcentral describes it as "oocyte_clustered_small_RNA9435". The record is from RNAcentral. Lineage: Eukaryota; Metazoa; Chordata; Mammalia; Rodentia; Muridae.
CCAGUGUUGACGUGGGCAAGAGGG